GUUGACAGUGAGCUGGGCCCUCCCAUAUCAAUCAUCAAUAAAGAAAAUGCUCCACAGGCCUACCCACAGGUCAAUCUAGUGAGGGCAUUUUUCCCAGUUUACAUUCCCUGUUCCUAGAUGACUCUAACUUGUGUCAAGUUGACAUAAAAUGAACCAUCACAGAAAGGAAAGAUGUCCUCAUUCUACUCUCUGGAAGUGUGAGGCCGAAAUUAAAUGCUUUCUUUUAUAGGUCGCCUUGGUCAUGGUGCUUUGUCACAGCAAUUGAAAAGUAAUGAAGACAACUGUGAUAUGGAAGUGUAAGCUAAAAUACCUCCACUCCAAGUUGCUUAUGACCAUGACGUUUUACCAUAGCAAUAGAAACCCUAACUAAGACAUUUUCCUCUCUUCUCCACCAGCAGAGUUCAUCACCUACAAGAGACACAAAUUUCCAACUUAACCUUUCCAACUUCUUCUGCCACAGAUGUGGCCAUGUAGUUCUCCUGCUCUGGCUAAUAAGAUAUGAAGAGAGAGCUCAAGGGACUUUCUGUCAAGAAUAUUAAACAGCUGAGAAGCUGAAUGGGAACAGAUCUCAUUGGUGGUGCACCUUAGCUGGAAGAAAUGAGGAUGGGAGAGGUUCCAAUGGAAUAGAAGGAUCUAGAAGCCAUACAGAUCCAGGUAUAUUUCUUAGC
Molecule: long non-coding RNA, 668 nt
Filed under: Cricetulus griseus (Chinese hamster)
Lineage: Eukaryota; Metazoa; Chordata; Mammalia; Rodentia; Cricetidae
Description: lncRNA (ENSCGRG00000026344.1)
Source: RNAcentral